Long non-coding RNA from Lycium barbarum (goji berry), 736 nucleotides. RefSeq lists it as uncharacterized. The transcript is spliced from 2 exons. NCBI's taxonomy places the organism in Eukaryota, Viridiplantae, Streptophyta, Magnoliopsida, Solanales, Solanaceae. The record is from RefSeq and is a predicted model, not a curated record.
UCAUAAAUUUUGUCCUCAAAACCUCCAAAGAGAUUUAAUAUAUCUUUCAUCAUUAUUGGCAUUUAUUCCUUUUUAUGAUAAUCCCUCUCUCUUCCUUCUCUUUAUAUAUUCUUUCACAAUAUACCGAAUGUGAUUUCCCCCUCAUUUUUCUGGCAUUUACUUCUCAUUAAUAUCCCAUUAACUAUAUGUUUAACUUCUUUUUUCCAAAAGAACGAGUGUAACGGCUCAACAAUGAACAUAAUGGUGCAGUUACAUCCUAAAAAUUAUACUAUCUAUUUAAAUUCCAGCUAAUGAAUAUAUGGUGCAAGAUUUUCUUUCAUGCUUCAUAUCUAAAUUCUUAGAAAACCGUGGCUCCUUUCCCGUCGAAGGCUUGAAGGAUUGUUAAGACAAGCAAGGGGAGAGUCAAGAAGAUGGCAUGAGAAAGUGCAACCGUGAGAACUAAAGACUGAGAUUUAAAAAGAUUUUCGAUAUUUUCUUUACAAAUAUUUAUGUCUUUUAUUUUUCUGUACCGAAGACGUUAAUAAUAUUAGUAGUAAUAUACACCACUUGAUAAUAAUACAAUUUUAAAUAAUGUUGAUUUAACUAUGUUUAACCAUUCAAUCCAUAUGUGUAGAAUAUUUAACUGCCUUAAACAACUGGACGAUAAAUUAUUUGUUCUUCCCAUGAAAAUCGAUGUAUGUAAAAAUGUCAUUUAAUUUAGGAAUACUGCAGUUUCUUUCUAUAAAUGCAUUUACAA